Molecule: ribosomal RNA, 492 nt
Filed under: uncultured bacterium
Lineage: Bacteria
Description: partial 16S ribosomal RNA
Rfam family: Bacterial small subunit ribosomal RNA
Source: RNAcentral
AUUGAACGCUGGCGGCAUGCUUUACACAUGCAAGUCGAACGGUAACAGGCCUUCGGGUGCUGACGAGUGGCGAACGGGUGAGUAAUGCAUCGGAACGUGCCCAGAGGUGGGGGAUAACGCAGCGAAAGCUGUGCUAAUACCGCAUGUGAUCUGAGGAUGAAAGCGGGGGACCAGGCAGCAAUGUUUGGCCUCGCGCCUUUGGAGCGGCCGAUGUCAGAUUAGGUAGUUGGUGGGGUAAAGGCCUACCAAGCCGACGAUCUGUACCUGGUCUGAGAGGACGACCAGCCACACUGGGACUGAGACACGGCCCAGACUCCUACGGGAGGCAGCAGUGGGGAAUUUUGGACAAUGGGCGCAAGCCUGAUCCAGCAAUGCCGCGUGCGGGAAGAAGGCCUUCGGGUUGUAAACCGCUUUUGUACGGAACGAAAAGGCUCUGGCUAAUACCUGGGGCUGAUGACGGUACCGUAAGAAUAAGCACCGGCUAACUACGUG